UACGGGGGCAGCAGUGGGGAAUAUUGCACAAUGGGCGCAAGCCUGAUGCAGCCAUGCCGCGUGUAUGAAGAAGGCCUUCGGGUUGUAAAGUACUUUCAGCAGUGAGGAAGGUGGGUAUGUUAAUAGCAUACUCAUUUGACGUUAGCUGCAGAAGAAGCACCGGCUAACUCCGUGCCAGCAGCCGCGGUAAUACGGAGGGUGCGAGCGUUAAUCGGAAUUACUGGGCGUAAAGCGCAUGCAGGUGGUUUGUUAAGUCAGAUGUGAAAGCCCGGGGCUCAACCUCGGAAUUGCAUUUGAAACUGGCAAACUAGAGUACUGUAGAGGGGGUAGAAUUUCAGGUGUAGCGGUGAAAUGCGUAGAGAUCUGAAGGAAUACCGGUGGCGAAGGCGGCCCCCUGGACAGAUACUGACACUCAGAUGCGAAAGCGUGGGGAGCAAACAGGAUUAGAUACCCUGGUAG
This 459-nucleotide ribosomal RNA is filed under the name uncultured bacterium. RNAcentral's name for it is "bacterial SSU rRNA". It matches the Rfam family "Bacterial small subunit ribosomal RNA", at positions 340 to 793 of the family's 1533-position model. The record is from RNAcentral.